UGCUACCGAGUGAAACGGAAUUAUCACGACAGGCUCAUACCCUGUAAAUAGCGAGUUCGACUCUCGUGGGAGCAACCA
Molecule: transfer RNA, 78 nt
Filed under: Bacillota bacterium
Lineage: Bacteria; Bacillati; Bacillota
Description: tRNA-Met
Rfam family: tRNA
About the family: Transfer RNA (tRNA) molecules are approximately 80 nucleotides in length. Their secondary structure includes four short double-helical elements and three loops (D, anti-codon, and T loops).
Source: RNAcentral